AUAAAUAUGGCAGAAAAAUGCAUUAGAUUUAGAAUCUAUAUAUAUCA
RNAcentral lists this transfer RNA (47 nucleotides) under Opadometa sp. TL-2013. RNAcentral's name for it is "tRNA-Leu". Lineage: Eukaryota; Metazoa; Arthropoda; Arachnida; Araneae; Tetragnathidae. The record is from RNAcentral.